GGGGAAUUAGCUCAGUUGGGAGAGCGCCGGCUUUGCAAGCCGGAGGUCACCGGUUCGAGCCCGGUAUUCUCCACCA
This 76-nucleotide transfer RNA is filed under the name Acidobacteriota bacterium. Its description in RNAcentral is "tRNA-Ala". It matches the Rfam family "tRNA". From Rfam's summary of the family: Transfer RNA (tRNA) molecules are approximately 80 nucleotides in length. Their secondary structure includes four short double-helical elements and three loops (D, anti-codon, and T loops). The record is from RNAcentral. Lineage: Bacteria; Pseudomonadati; Acidobacteriota. RNAcentral also lists the same sequence under 1 other name.